This 998-nucleotide long non-coding RNA is filed under the name Homo sapiens (human). RNAcentral describes it as "HSALNT0354168". Lineage: Eukaryota; Metazoa; Chordata; Mammalia; Primates; Hominidae. The record is from RNAcentral.
ACAGCUUGGAGGUUAGAAGCAAGAAGGAGUCAGGACACAAUUGGAGAAACUGGUUAUUUUACCAAGGCUUUGACUGGAAUGGUGCACUUUCCUUUAAGGAUCAAACAUGACUUAUGGAGCCAAUUAAAUCCCCUUGGGAAAACUGGCCUCAUUGCUUGUCUACACAGUUCCUGUCCAGGGUUCCUGACUUACGGAUGUGAGACUUCACAACCUGCUAAAAAUGAACUUUCCUAAUAACUCGGGACCUACCCAUCUAGGAAUAAACCAUCCUAUUCAUGACAGUGCCUGUGAAAGAUAAAGGAGAAAGAAUCAGGGUUGGAGAACUGGAAAAGUCUUGGCCAACCAAAUAGGCAACCCUGCAGCAAAGAUUGCCCAUUAGAAGAGUCAAAUGCUAGGAAGAAAUUGCAAACCCUACUAUUCUCACUGUGCUCAAACUUCGACUAGGAACUUCCACAAAGAGUGUGGCCUUGGCUUGAACAUUGCAGCAGCAGAUUAUGUAGGUGCUGAACUUGGAGUUUUGCACUUCUCACAGCUGACAGCAAAUUCUUUCUUCAAGGGAGACCUGAGCAGUCCUCCAUAUCUGCCAAAUUACUGCAUAGGAACAAAAAGGAGCCCUCCAUUCAUCUAAGAAGCAAAAUGAACUAGCAGAGAGAGCUUUGGCAUCAGGCAAAUCUGAUUGUAAAUACUUCUAGCAUAUAGUUGCUCUUACAUUGAGUUGGAUUGCUGGAUCAGGAAAUAUUAAUAUUUUAAAGACAUUUAUUACCAAACCAGUAUCAAAAAUAUCACUUUGGUUGACCAUGAUACCAGCAAUGGAUACAUGUAUAUGUUUCCCUGAAAUGCUAUGAAUACUGUUUUUCUGAGGCAUGAAGAGAUGCUUUCUGCCCUCGAACAACAGACUCCAAGUUCUUCAAAUUUGGAUUCUUGGACUUACAUCAGCGAUUUGCCAGGGCCUUCAGCCACAGACUGAAGGCUGCACUGUCAGCUUCCCUACUUUUGAG